GACGAACGCUGGCGGCGUGCUUAACACAUGCAAGUCGAACGGAAAGGCCCUGCUUUUGUGGGGUGCUCGAGUGGCGAACGGGUGAGUAACACGUGAGUAACCUGCCCUUGACUUUGGGAUAACUUCAGGAAACUGGGGCUAAUACCGGAUAGGAGCUCCUGCUGCAUGGUGGGGGUUGGAAAGUUUCGGCGGUUGGGGAUGGACUCGCGGCUUAUCAGCUUGUUUGUGGGGUAGUGGCUUACCAAGGCUUUGACGGGUAGCCGGCCUGAGAGGGUGACCGGCCACAUUGGGACUGAGAUACGGCCCAGACGCCUACGGGAGGCAGCAGUGGGGAAUAUUGCACAAUGGGCGGAAGCCUGAUGCAGCAACGCCGCGUGCGGGAUGACGGCCUUCGGGUUGUAAACCGCUUUCGCCUGUGACGAAGCGUGAGUGACGGUAAUGGGUAAAGAAGCACCGGCUAACUACGUG
This 468-nucleotide ribosomal RNA is filed under the name uncultured bacterium. RNAcentral's name for it is "partial 16S ribosomal RNA". It matches the Rfam family "Bacterial small subunit ribosomal RNA", at positions 28 to 507 of the family's 1533-position model. The record is from RNAcentral.